RNAcentral lists this ribosomal RNA (497 nucleotides) under uncultured bacterium. Its description in RNAcentral is "partial 16S ribosomal RNA". It matches the Rfam family "Bacterial small subunit ribosomal RNA", at positions 28 to 507 of the family's 1533-position model. The record is from RNAcentral.
GAUGAACGCUGGCGGCGUGCCUAAUACAUGCAAGUCGAGCGCAUGGAUGAGCCGCUUGCCUUUCAGAUGUUAGCGGCGGACGGGUGAGUAACACGUGGAUAACCUACCUAAACGUCUGGGAUAACUUCGGGAAACCGGAGCUAACACCGGCUGAUAUUUCAUACCGCUUGGUUCCAAAGUGAAAGAGGGUCUUGCUGGCACUCAUAGAUGGAUCCGCGCUGCAUUAGCUAGUUGGUAAGGUAACGGCUUACCAAGGCAACGAUGCAUAGCCGACCUGAGAGGGUGAUCGGCCACACUGGAACUGAGACACGGUCCAGACUCCUACGGGAGGCAGCAGUAGGGAAUCUUCCGCAAUGGGCGAAAGCCUGACGGAGCAACGCCGCGUGAGUGAUGAAGGUCUUCGGAUCGUAAAACUCUGUUAUUAGGGAAGAACAUAUGUGUAAGUAACUGUGCACAUCUUGACGGUACCUAAUCAGAAAGCCACGGCUAACUACGUG